CGAUGUCUAGGGGCUCUGAGAGGAUUGUCCCCCACACUGGUACUGAGACACGGACCAGACUCCUACGGGAGGCAGCAGUAAGGAAUAUUGGUCAAUGGACGAAAGUCUGAACCAGCCAUGCCGCGUGCAGGAUGACGGCCCUAUGGGUUGUAAACUGCUUUUAUACGGGAAGAAUCCCCUGUACGUGUACAGGGUUGACGGUACCGUACGAAUAAGGAUCGGCUAACUCCGUGCCAGCAGCCGCGGUAAUACGGAGGAUCCAAGCGUUAUCCGGAUUUAUUGGGUUUAAAGGGUGCGUAGGCGGAAUGAUAAGUUAGUGGUGAAAUCCCUCGGCUCAACCGGGGCACUGCCAUUAAAACUGUCAUUCUUGAGUAUAGUUGAAGUGGGCGGAAUGUAUCAUGUAGCGGUGAAAUGCUUAGAUAUGAUACAGAACACCGAUAGCGUAGGCAGCUUGCUAAACUAUAACUGACGCUCAGGCACGAAAGCGUGGGGAGCAAACAGGAUUAGAUACCCUGGUAGUCCACGCCGUAAACGAUGAUCACUCGCUGUUGGCGAUACACAGUCAGCGGCUUAGGGAAACCAUUAAGUGAUCCACCUGGGGAGUACGGUCGCAAGAUUGAAACUCAAAGGAAUUGACGGGGGCCCGCACAAGCGGAGGAGCAUGUGGUUUAAUUCGAUGAUACGCGAGGAACCUUACCUGGGCUUAAAUGUAAGACGACAGUCCCCGAAAGGGGACUUUCCUUCGGGACGUCCUACAAGGUGCUGCAUAGUUGUCGUCAGCUCGUGCCGUGAGGUGUCGGGUUAAGUCCCAUAACGAGCGCAACCCCUAUCCUUAGUUGCCAUCAGAUAAUGCUGGGGACUCUAAGGAAACUGCCUACGCAAGUAGUGAGGAAGAUGGGGAUGACGUCAAAUCAGCACGGCCCUUAUGUCCAGGGCUACACACGUGCUACAAUGGCCGGUACAGAGGGCAGCUACCUGGUGACAGGAUGCUAAUCUCGAAAACCGGUCUCAGUUCGGAUCGAAGUCUGCAACUCGACUUCGUGAAGUCGGAUUCGCUAGUAAUCGCACAUCAGCCAUGGCGCGGUGAAUACGUUCCCGGGCCUUGUACACACCGCCCGUCAAGCCAUGGAAGCUGGGGGUACCUAAAGUCCGUAACCGCAAGGAGCGGCCUAGGGUAAAACUAGUAACUGGGGCUAAGUCGUAACAAGGUA
Molecule: ribosomal RNA, 1211 nt
Filed under: metagenome
Description: bacterial SSU rRNA
Rfam family: Bacterial small subunit ribosomal RNA
Source: RNAcentral